CGUGAGGGAAAGGCGAAAAGAACCCCGGCGAGGGGAGUGAAAAAGAACCUGAAACCGUGUACGUACAAGCAGUGGGAGCCUCUUAAUGGGGUGACUGCGUACCUUUUGUAUAAUGGGUCAGCGACUUAUAUUCUGUAGCAAGGUUAACCGAAUAGGGGAGCCGAAGGGAAACCGAGUCUUAACUGGGCGUUAAGUUGCAGGGUAUAGACCCGAAACCCGGUGAUCUAGCCAUGGGCAGGUUGAAGGUUGGGUAACACUAACUGGAGGACCGAACCGACUAAUGUUGAAAAAUUAGCGGAUGACUUGUGGCUGGGGGUGAAAGGCCAAUCAAACCGGGAGAUAGCUGGUUCUCCCCGAAAGCUAUUUAGGUAGCGCCUCGUGAAUUCAUCUCCGGGGGUAGAGCACUGUUUCGGCAAGGGGGUCAUCCCGACUUACCAACCCGAUGCAAACUGCGAAUACCGGAGAAUGUUAUCACGGGAGACACACGGCGGGUGCUAACGUCCGUCGUGAAGAGGGAAACAACCCAGACCGCCAGCUAAGGUCCCAAAGUCAUGGUUAAGUGGGAAACGAUGUGGGAAGGCCCAGACAGCCAGGAUGUUGGCUUAGAAGCAGCCAUCAUUUAAAGAAAGCGUAAUAGCUCACUGGUCGAGUCGGCCUGCGCGGAAGAUGUAACGGGGCUAAACCAUGCACCGAAGCUGCGGCAGCGACACUAUGUGUUGUUGGGUAGGGGAGCGUUCUGUAAGCCUGUGAAGGUGGCCUGUGAGGGUUGCUGGAGGUAUCAGAAGUGCGAAUGCUGACAUAAGUAACGAUAAAGCGGGUGAAAAGCCCGCUCGCCGGAAGACCAAGGGUUCCUGUCCAACGUUAAUCGGGGCAGGGUGAGUCGACCCCUAAGGCGAGGCCGAAAGGCGUAGUCGAUGGGAAACAGGUUAAUAUUCCUGUACUUGGUGUUACUGCGAAGGGGGGACGGAGAAGGCUAUGUUGGCCGGGCGACGGUUGUCCCGGUUUAAGCGUGUAGGCUGGUUUUCCAGGCAAAUCCGGAAAACCAAGGCUGAGGCGUGAUGACGAGGCACUACGGUGCUGAAGCGACAAAUGCCCUGCUUCCAGGAAAAGCCUCUAAGCAUCAGGUAACAUCAAAUCGUACCCCAAACCGACACAGGUGGUCAGGUAGAGAAUACCAAGGCGCUUGAGAGAACUCGGGUGAAGGAACUAGGCAAAAUGGUGCCGUAACUUCGGGAGAAGGCACGCUGAUAUGUAGGUGAAGCGACUUGCUCGUGGAGCUGAAAUCAGUCGAAGAUACCAGCUGGCUGCAACUGUUUAUUAAAAACACAGCACUGUGCAAACACGAAAGUGGACGUAUACGGUGUGACGCCUGCCCGGUGCCGGAAG
This 1386-nucleotide ribosomal RNA is filed under the name Escherichia coli. Its description in RNAcentral is "partial 23S ribosomal RNA". It matches the Rfam family "Bacterial large subunit ribosomal RNA", at positions 502 to 1875 of the family's 2925-position model. The record is from RNAcentral. Lineage: Bacteria; Pseudomonadati; Pseudomonadota; Gammaproteobacteria; Enterobacterales; Enterobacteriaceae.